Molecule: long non-coding RNA, 2234 nt
Filed under: Pelobates cultripes (western spadefoot toad)
Lineage: Eukaryota; Metazoa; Chordata; Amphibia; Anura; Pelobatidae
Source: RNAcentral
CAAAACACAGACUCCGUUUGUUUAUUCAAAUUUAUUAGAAUAAAAAGGGUCUCUAAAACAUGAAAAAGAUAUUUAAUGUCAUACAAUAAACACAGAAGAACAUACAUAUACUGACAAACCUGGUCAGAUGAGGUUACGGUCUGUGGUGUAGGGCUUCCUCUGGUUGGUCACAGAUUUGGUCGAUCGUACCAAUAGUUUUAGAGUUUAGGUUUAUUUGCAUGUGGCUUAGACACAACUAACAAACUAUUCCAAUAUACAAACUUUGUCACUGAAUACUUCCUACGCCUUACACAAGCUACUACAGUCUAGAAGUGACAAUUUCCACAGCCGUCACCAGUGGUGGCUGCAGAAAAUUGGCUUUAUCUGUGCAGGAUCCCGCAGUCUCCAUUGAUUUCUUCUCUUCCACUAAGUAACGUUGAAUGGUUGAAAAGGGCAAUAUUUAUAGCAAUGAUUGACAGGGAGCCAAGAUGGAGUCGCUCAAUUUAAGUAUACAGGAAAAUACGGUGCAAAUAAAACCAUAUUUUCUAAAUAGAAAGAUAUAUAAACAUAUUGUUCAAAAUGCUGGAAAGGGACAGUUUCCCUUUAAACCAUAUUGUUGGAAUUUAUACAAACACCUUUAUUCACAAAACUCUCAGGAAUCUAUCAUAGAAAAGGAUUGCUGGGAUAAAUGUCUAUUAUGUACAAUAAAAAAAUAAUAAACAACAAAUACUUACCUAUAUAGAUCCUAACAAAGCACAAAUUGCACAGACUGCUGGAAGACUUCUUUGACCAGGAAGUAGCUCUACCAAUCAUGAGGCUUUUAUUCUGAUCUAUGGAGUCUGACCUCAUCCCAUACAUCUCUGCCCAGCAAACUCACGGACCUCCAGAGACAGAUUUUCCCCAUAGGAAAGCAUUGAAUGAUGCUUUCCUAUGGGGAGGUCUAAUACACGCAUGACCAUUGCCGCGCAUGCGCAUUAGGUCUCCCCGCCGGCUGACGUCGGUGGGGGAAGAGCGUGGGUGGAGCCUGACCCAGCGCCGAGGGACAUCGGCGCUGGAUUCAGGUAAGUGGCUGAAGGGGUUUUAGCCCCUUCAGCCACGCGGGAGGGAAGCCCCGAGUGAGAAGGGCACUCCAGGAGCCCAUAGUGAAAGGAAAACUGGUUUGUUUUCCUGGCACUAUAGGAUCCCUUUAAAAGUGAACAUUUGGUAACAUUCUAUAUACAUUACUUAUCCCAGAUGUAAAUAAUUAUGUUAUGUAAGACUUCAUACAAACUUUUUUGGAUAACAAGGCUCGCUGGCCACAAAAACCACAUCUGAUAAACCUGUAUGGACAAAUAAAAACUAAACAAAACAAUGUGUUAUUUUUCCAUCUCUUCCUGCAAAUGUUUGCAUAGUUAAAAGUUUUUCCAAAUAUUAACCCUUUUAAUUAUAUUGUAGAAUUGCAGUCCCCCACAAGGCCACCAGAACAAACACCUCUUAUUCUACAUAAACAAAAAACGAAAACCUGCCACAUCUUGCCCUUUUCUCUAAAAAAAGAGUGUCAAACAAUUCUUACCUUUUAUUCCGGCCAUUUUACAAAGUAAAUAAAGUCUGGGCUUUGCAGCCGGCAGUGUCCUGAUCAAGAUUUCCAUAGAAGUUUCAGUUCUCUGAUAAAGCAGCCAUUAAUUUAAUGUGACAUACACUCUGACUGACCCUAAACACAUUCUUCAAUGUAAACGUAUUUAAGCUGAACUUCUCUUGUUGCAAUUACUUGUUUAUUAGCUCAUUUAUUGUACAGCGCUGUGGAAUACGUUGCUGCUUUAUAAAAAUAAUAAAAAUGUUUCAGUCUGCAUGUUGGGCUGUAUAUGGUGCCUAUGAAUCAGGAAAUUGUCGCCUGUCUCAAUAUAAAAAAAAAAAAAGAAGGAAAUCAAGUAAAGGCUUGUGGUUCUACUAGAAAUUAAAAGGGGCUUUCCCAAACCUAUCCGAGCCAGUGGUGUGAACGGUGUGCAGAAAACAUAAAAAUACAGGUAAUUUCUACAUAUAUUUCCCGCAAAAUGAUAUAAUCCCCACAAGAUAAAAAAGGUAAUAAAUUUGAUUGGCUUCUUGUGAUUCCACAUAAACCAGACUUGGCUGAGUAGCAGAGACUCCGAUAUGCUUGCUUUAACUCUAUAUAGUCCGCGUGGUGAACACAUGCUGCCCAGCUCCUCAGAACCUCACCUGUGACAUCAGUCUUCCUCACAGGUUAAGGGUCUCAGGGACAGAGAGGCAUGCUGCUAAAC